Molecule: ribosomal RNA, 377 nt
Filed under: uncultured Planctomycetota bacterium
Lineage: Bacteria; Pseudomonadati; Planctomycetota
Description: bacterial SSU rRNA
Rfam family: Bacterial small subunit ribosomal RNA
Source: RNAcentral
UAAGACGAAGGUGGCUAGCGUUAUUCGGUAUUACUGGGCUUAAAGCGUGUGUAGGCGGAAAAGUAAGCGUUCUGUGAAAGCCCCCGGCUUAACCGGGGAACUGCGCAACGAACUGCUUUUCUUGAGGCAAGUAGGGGUGCAUGGAACUCUUGGUGGAGCGGUGGAAUGCGUAGAUAUCAAGAGGAACGCCGGUGGAGAAAUCGGUGCACUGGGCUUGUCCUGACGCUGAGACACGAAAGCGUGGGGAGCAAACGGGAUUAGAUACCCCGGUAGUCCACGCCGUAAACGAUGCCUACUAGGUUGUGGAGGUUCUGACACCUGCACGGCCGAAGCAAAAGUGUUAAGUAGGCCGCCUGGGGAGUACGGUCGCAAGGCUA